CUGGGAUGAUGCAAUUUAGCCAAAUCAGACAUUGAUGUGCUCCAGAAGGCACUGCCUUCUGUCGAAGUGUUUUUCUCUGUUGAUAUCAUCGAGAUUGGUUGCUUUCUGACCAGA
This is a non-coding RNA of Punica granatum (pomegranate), 114 nucleotides long. Lineage: Eukaryota; Viridiplantae; Streptophyta; Magnoliopsida; Myrtales; Lythraceae. The record is from Rfam.